CUUGCUGCCUGACCUAUCGGCGGACGGGUGAGUAAUGCUUAGGAAUCUGCCUAUUAGUGGGGGACAACAUUCCGAAAGGAAUGCUAAUACCGCAUACGCCCUACAGGGGAAAGCAAGGGAUCUUCAGACCUUGCGCUAAUACAUGAGCCUAAGUCAGAUUAGCUAGUUGGUGGGGUAAAGGCCUACCAAGGCGACGAUCUGUAUCGGGUCUGAGAGGAUGAUCCGCCUCACUGGGACUGAGACACAGCCCAGACUCCUACGGGAGGCAGCAGUGGGGAAUAUUGGACAAUGGGCGAAAGCCUGAUCCAGCCAUGCCGCGUGUGUGAAGAAGGCCUUUUGGUUGUAAAGCACUUUAAGCGAGGAGGAGGCUACUUGGAUUAAUACUCUAGGAUAGUGGACGUUACUCGCAGAAUAAGCACCGGCUAACUCUGUGCCAGCAGCCGCGGUAAUACAGAGGGUGCGAGCGUUAAUCGGAUUUACUGGGCGUAAAGCGUGCGUAGGCGGCUUCUUAAGUCGGAUGUGAAAUCCCUGAGCUUAACUUAGGAAUUGCAUUCGAUACUGGGAAGCUAGAGUAUGGGAGAGGAUGGUAGAAUUCCAGGUGUAGCGGUGAAAUGCGUAGAGAUCUGGAGGAAUACCGAUGGCGAAGGCAGCCAUCUGGCCUAAUACUGACGCUGAGGUACGAAAGCAUGGGGAGCAAACAGGAUUAGAUACCCUGGUAGUCCAUGCCGUAAACGAUGUCUACUAGCCGUUGGGGCCUUUGAGGCUUUAGUGGCGCAGCUAACGCGAUAAGUAGACCGCCUGGGGAGUACGGUCGCAAGACUAAAACUCAAAUGAAUUGACGGGGGCCCGCACAAGCGGUGGAGCGUGUGGUUUAAUUCGAUGCAACGCGAAGAACCUUACCUGGUCUUGACAUAGUAAGAACUUUCCAGAGAUGGAUUGGUGCGUUCGGGAACUUACAUACAGGUGCCGCAUGGCUGUCGUCAGCUCGUGUCGUGAGAUGUUGGGUUAAGUCCCGCAACGAGCGCAACCCUUUUCCUUAUUUGCCAGCGGGUUAAGCCGGGAACUUUAAGGAUACUGCCAGUGACAAACUGGAGGAGGGCGGGGACGACGUCAAGUCAUCAUGGCCCUUACGACCAGGGCUACACACGUGCUACAAUGGUCGGUACAAAGGGUUGCUACCUAGCAAUAGGAUGCUAAUCUCAAAAAGCCGAUCGUAGUCCGGAUUGGAGUCUGCAACUCGACUCCAUGAAGUCG
This 1254-nucleotide ribosomal RNA is filed under the name uncultured Acinetobacter sp. RNAcentral's name for it is "bacterial SSU rRNA". It matches the Rfam family "Bacterial small subunit ribosomal RNA", at positions 79 to 1328 of the family's 1533-position model. The record is from RNAcentral. Lineage: Bacteria; Pseudomonadati; Pseudomonadota; Gammaproteobacteria; Moraxellales; Moraxellaceae.